This is a long non-coding RNA of Perca fluviatilis (European perch), 2094 nucleotides long. RefSeq lists it as uncharacterized. The record is from RefSeq and is a predicted model, not a curated record. NCBI's taxonomy places the organism in Eukaryota, Metazoa, Chordata, Actinopteri, Perciformes, Percidae. The transcript is spliced from 6 exons.
UAGCAAGACGGCGUGCCGGAGUGAUUAAGAUGGACUAUUCAGAACAGGUGCGGGACCGUAGAGUUUGGAGCAGGACCGACGAGAUACCCUUUUCCCACAUUAAGUUGUGUUUCGCCAUCAUUUUACUUUACUUUAAAUGUACUUUAAAUGUACACAAAUAAACUGGCAAUGGAGCACCGACGCUAACCAGUGUCGGACUCGGACCACAGACAUCGAUCUGACCGAGUAUCGGAGCAGUGCCGGCGGGGGCAGCGAGGCGACAGACACAUCCAGGUCGGUUUCUGAGGGUCGACAGUUCACCUCGCCCACCUCAAGUUCAACUCUGGAGACUUUCAUUUCGGAUCUGAGGUUUAAAAAUACCCUCUAGUUCAGUUCCAGAGAGUGGCUCUGGUCCAUUGCAGUCUGGCCUUCUUCCAAUCCAGCCGUGAUUGCGUUUUAGGACUUCUGCUCCGGUGUGGCAGCAGGCGUGGCCAGACUCUCCGGCUUCACAAUCUGAUGACGUACUCUGCAUACGCCAGUCCGUUGACACUGGGUCGACCUAUAACCGAGUGGUGUCCAGGGGGGGCGUGGGCCAUUUUCAUCGCACUAAACUGAAGAAACGACUUUCCCAGCGUCACUCUGCAGAACAGCAUCUGCCUGAAAUGCAAACCCACAGAAUGAUGCCGUGAAGACUGGAACUCCUUGUCGUCCGGUGCCAGGUCGAUCAGCACGGUGCCCUGGCUGGAGCAGUGGAACGUCAGAUAUGGGUUUGCACCUACAAUCAAAAAACAAAUGACACUAAAUUUCUUAUCAUACAUUACAGGUAUAGCCACAUAUAUAACCCAGGAGUUUGAUGUAUAGAUGAUGUAAAGUAAGCAUUUUGAGUGUUUCUCAACAAAUCUGAAGACUAAAUAACAGAACUUGGCGUUAUAAAGAGAACAUGCUUGAUUGUUUUAACAUUUCCAGUGUUUAUUUGAAGAUUAAAUAUUUAUGUCAUUUCAAUACAGUAAAUCUGAUAUAGGAACAGGUGUGUGUUUGUGUGUGUAGUUUUGUGUGUGCGUGUGUGGUUUUGUGUGUGUGUUUUGUUUGUUUCCUGACCUUGCUGGCCUCCCAGCAGCCGUUCGAUGCCCUUGAUGAGUUUGUGUCUGUGGCCGUAAGCGUUGAUGCCGAUCUCUUUCAGCUCCUCGUGACCCAUGUCUGCCAGCACAUCCAGCGAAAUCUGCCCGGAAAACAGCAAAUGAGUCAUUGGAGCAGAGACAGUCUACAGCGAUGCUACAGCUCUGCAAGGCUGUACUUAGGCACAGUGGUGCUCUGAGCUAAAUGCUAACGCUAACAUCCUCACCACAAUGCUAACAUGCUGAAUCUAAGCAGGCAAGAUAUUUACCAUGAUCACCAUCUUAUUUUAACAUUUGCGAAUUAGCAUUAAACACAAAUUACAGUUGAGGCUGAUAGCUUUGCAAGUAUGUAGCCAUAAACCUAGCUAUAAUAAGCAAUACAAAUGUUGGAUAGAUUAAAAUGCUGAUGACCCAAGAUAAAAAGUUGAGGGAUUAGCGAAGUAAUUACAUCCUGAGGGGAACAUGGAUGUCUGAACCAAAUUGUAUGGCAAUCCAUCUGUUGUUGAGAUAAUUCAGUCUUGACCAAACACUGUCAUCCCUUGAGCCAUGCCGCUAGAAUGGUUAUGAACUGACAUGAGGAAUGUAAAAUGGAACAAAAAUGAACAAAAGAAAACUGAUUAAAUAAAUGAGUUCAAACCAAGACUGAAUUAACCCUGUAAGAAAAAUAUUUCCUGGUCUUUCCACCUUUCAUCCUCAUCUCUUAUAUCUAUGUGCCUCUCCAGUUCUUUGCACCUUUUGCUGUUCCCUUUCACUAUUGCCUUUCCCAGACACAUAAAGGAAUGUGCGUGUACCUGUUCCCGCUGGAAGGUGUCUCGGAGGUGUUCCAGCCCUAGGCUCUUCAAAAACUGGUUGAUGGUCAUGUCGAGCAGAGCUGCAGAGACACAGAGAGACCCAGAUGCUCCGUCUGCUGGUCCAGUGGCCCCGCCCACAGAGAUGUCACUGAGGGGCGCAGUCAGGUUGUCUAUGCUGCUGGCUGCAGACAGGCAGGAUGGGGAUGGAG